Molecule: long non-coding RNA, 637 nt
Organism: Culex pipiens pallens (northern house mosquito)
Lineage: Eukaryota; Metazoa; Arthropoda; Insecta; Diptera; Culicidae
Exons: 2
Source: RefSeq, a predicted model, not a curated record
GUUCGGUUGCAUCGUAGCAACAUCUGCUUUUCAAACUUUAUUUAUUUUCUGUCAAACCAAAAAGCACAUCAUUGGUGAUUUUAGAGUUCAUUUAGAAAAAUACGGUCCAGAUGCUUCCGCCUAACUAAAAUUCCAUGAAUGGAACCGGUUUAUCCGACGGUGCCCACUGUUCGACGUGGAUAAGUGCCGACAAGUUACGUUCAAAAUCCCCACUGCUAGUGGAACCUGCACCGCAAUCCAGAACCUGUCCUCCAGAUACAACCUUAUCCAGCAGACACAUUCUUCUCCAGCCACAACAACGCUUUUUUUUAUUGUUCUCCGAAAUGCAGCGACAAUCCACCGGAAGCGAGCAGCGAUGUCUUCGGCAGCGCAGUCUUCUUUUGUGUGAACUCCAGCAAUCUCUUGCCGAAUACCGGUUCCUCCGUGGUUCCUCCAGAAUCUGUCGUGUUCUCCUGCAUUUCAUUGCGAUACUGAACGAGAAUACUCGGACAAUCAAAAAUACCACGACGAAUCAAGUGCCCUGCUGGCAAAAGUGUCAAGAACUAGUGACAAUGCUAUGAUUUUUCUGCAAAUUUUAAUUUGUAGUAAUACUCAAGUAGUAGUGAUUUAAAGAUGCACAAUAAAACGGUUCUGAAUC